UGCAUGCUGCGAUUCCGUAAUAAAUCUGCGAACAGCUCCGUAUAUCUGUUGUCACCAGUAAAGCCCCUUUGCGCCCUGUCCUGCGCGGAUAGAGGCGGUAAUUCUGCUUGUAAUACGUGUGAAACCGUCGAGGGACGCGCGCCCGCUACGCUCCGCGUGCGGCGCCGUACCUAGACCGGCUGGCAUCCCGGGGCACCAAUCGCGUCGCUAGACGUCGGGAGGAGGCCGCGGGAUAGCGCCAAAGAAUGCCUUCGCGGCACUCUUAGGCUUUGGGCUUCAGACCUAUCAACUGGGAGGCUGGGUAAGGUCCAGUCUCGGUGAUAACGGGUACAGAGGAUCAGGGUUCGGUCCUGGAGAGGUAGCCUGAGAGAUAGCUACUACUUCUAAGGAAGGCAGCAGGCGCGCAACGUUCCCAAUGGUUUGCCACCCAGUGGCCGAGGACGUUAAGGGACAUAACAAUGCCCGGCCCGCAAAGGGCGGGGUAAUUGUAAUGGGGACGUUUUAAAACCCCUACCGAGUAACAAUUAGAG
This 530-nucleotide ribosomal RNA is filed under the name Hemitrichia leiocarpa. RNAcentral's name for it is "bacterial SSU rRNA". It matches the Rfam family "Eukaryotic small subunit ribosomal RNA", at positions 52 to 553 of the family's 1831-position model. Lineage: Eukaryota; Evosea; Eumycetozoa; Trichiida; Trichiidae. The record is from RNAcentral.